RNAcentral lists this ribosomal RNA (468 nucleotides) under uncultured bacterium. RNAcentral describes it as "partial 16S ribosomal RNA". It matches the Rfam family "Bacterial small subunit ribosomal RNA", at positions 28 to 507 of the family's 1533-position model. The record is from RNAcentral.
GACGAACGCUGGCGGCGUGCUUAACACAUGCAAGUCGAACGGAAAGGCCCUGCUUUUGUGGGGUGCUCUAGUGGCGAACGGGUGAGUAACACGUGAGUAACCUGCCCUUGACUUUGGGAUAACUUCAGGAAACUUGGGCUAAUACCGGAUAGGAGCUCCUGCUGCAUGGUGGGGGUUGGAAAGUUUCGGCGGUUGGGGAUGGACUCGCGGCGUAUCAGCUUGUUGGUGGGGUAGUGGCUUACCAAGGCUUUGACAGGUAGCCGGCCUGCGAGGGUGACAGGCCAAAUUGGGACUGAGAUAAGGCCCAGACCCCUACGGGAGGCAGCAGUGGGGAAUAUAGCACAAUGGGCGGAAGCCUGAUGCAGCACCGCCGCGUGCGGGAUGACGGCAUUCGGGUUGUAAACCGCUUUCGCCUGUGACGAAGCGUGAGUGACGGUAAUGGGUAAAGAAGCACCGGCUAACUACGUG